GACGAACGCUGGCGGCGUGCUUAACACAUGCAAGUCGAACGGUGAAGCGCCUUCCUUUUUGGUGGGUGUGGAUGAGUGGCGAACGGGUGAGUAACACGUGAGUAACCUGCCCCCUUCUUCUGGAUAACCGCAUGAAAGUGUGGCUAAUGCGGGAUAUUCUGGGUCUGUCGCAUGAUGGGUCUGGGAAAGAUAUUGUUUCGGUGGGGGAUGGGCUCGCGGCCUAUCAGCUUGUUGGUGGGGUGAUGGCCUACCAAGGCGGUGACGGGUAGCCGGCCUGAGAGGGUGGACGGUCACACUGGGACUGAGACACGGCCCAGACUCCUACGGGAGGCAGCAGUGGGGAAUAUUGCACAAUGGGCGCAAGCCUGAUGCAGCGACGCCGCGUGAGGGAUGGGGGCCUUCGGGUUGUGAACCUCUUUCGCCAGUGAAGCAGGCCUGCCUCGUUUGUGGGUGGGUUGACGGUAGCUGGAUAAGAAGCGCCGGCUAACUACGUG
RNAcentral lists this ribosomal RNA (494 nucleotides) under uncultured bacterium. Its description in RNAcentral is "partial 16S ribosomal RNA". It matches the Rfam family "Bacterial small subunit ribosomal RNA", at positions 28 to 507 of the family's 1533-position model. The record is from RNAcentral.